UAAAUAUUGUGAGGUAUUAUAAUGUGGUCAUUUUUUAAAUAGUUUUAAUUGAACAACAAUCUUUAAAUCUGUUUUCAACCUUUAUCGUAUCUAAACUUCAAAUAUUGUGUUCAUGUGCUUCACAGAUAUGAGGAACAUUGUAAUCACAGGGAAUACAGCUGUUGAGGUGGGAGACGCUCUGAAUUUAACCUGCAGUGUUGAAAGCUUUCCUCCAUCUCAUAUCACAUGGACCAACACACACCUGUACAACGGACCCGCUACUAACCUGCAGAGCAACACUGGAUCAGCCACACUUGUCAUCCCGAAUGUGAAGACAGAAUAUUCUGCACGGUACAUCUGUACAGCACAACACCUGAACACGACUGUGACGACAUACGCUGAAGUAACAGUGAUUUUGUUUUCAAAGAUCUUAAAAAACUCUGGCUGUGUGGUUCAGUCGGAGGUCCUGAAUUGUGUGUGUAUCACUGAAGGCUUUCCUUUACCCACCAUCACAUGGCCGCUGUUGAAGAAACACACAGAGUACUCUGUCAUUACAUCUGUGUCAAACCACACAGUCAACAGCACCGUCAUCCUACCUGCAAAAGACCUCAGCAACACUUCCGUUGAGUGUGUCAGCAGCAAUGGACAUGGGGAAGCAAAACAAACCUUCACCAUCCUAAGAUCCAACACGUCGGAACAAGCGGGUACAUGUUCUCAACUAAACUUCAGCAUUAUAUCAUUUUCACUGUGACCUUUUUGUACUUAGACAACAGUUGGGCAAGCGGUCAGAAGGAACAACUAUUGCAUGUAUAUUAAUUCAGAACGACUUGGAAAGACAUUUUUUCUUGUUUCUCUUAAUUUUCAGGUAAAUCCAAUGAAAUAUUAAACAUUGUUUCACGGCUGGAAGUCAUCAUUGCCUUUUUGAUUGGGAUACUUCUUUCAGCAGUCCUUUGCUGUGUGGCCACACAAUGCCUCAGGUACAGCUUUAAAUCAAAUAGCUAAUUCAUAGUUUUGUUUGUGGAUAAUCUUCAUACAUAAACGCACAUUUGUUGCUGUUUUUAAAUAUUUUCUUUCACCCCAGAAAAAAUAAGAAGAACUCUGUAAAACUGGAUGAGACUCUGGAGAUGGUGACCAGCGAAGAGGAUCCACUGGUGUUGUGUGUGAGUGACGAGGCAGCGCUGAUCAAAUAAGAAUUAUUACCAUUACCUGUUUCUCGCCUCAAAGGUUUUCUUAAACAUAUUUUAAUGUAUUUAGCUGUAAAAUGAGUCAGUCGAGCCAAAAGCAAGCACCUGCCCACCUGCCGGAGCAAACCUUCCCAUUUGUUAUUGGUCAGCUCACAGCCAAGCAGCUGAUAGGAGCCACUGAGGAUGAAGCAGCUGUUGCCGGAAAGCUCAAGCAAGCACAACUUCUGUGCUCUGACUGAACGUACCGGGAGAGAGAGGUGUCGGGACCCUUUGUGUAGCUUUGCAGUGCAAUACAGACUGGUCUGAUUAACAUUAAUUUUACUAUGAUAAAAGCAAAUACUACAAUCAUGAGAAGUCAUCUGUUCGAGGCAAAGACACAAAAACUACUUCUGCAAAAUUGCAUUGUUCAUAUUUGCCUGUUUAGGCACAAUGUUCGCAGCCUCCGCUGUCACUGCAGGGACAAUAAUCUUUCAUCUGCAUCGUGUGUUGACAUGAACAGUGUUUCUGUUCAUCUUUAUUCUCUAUGCCUUUAUAAAAAAAAAAAUGUAAUUAAUGAAUGGCAUUUUAAUGCUAUUAAAUAUGCCUUAUCAUUAAAAAUAAAAAGACUGGUAAAAAUAGAUUAGAAACGAGAAAGUCUAACUGCUCAGUAAUGUCAAUAUACCAGAUACAAAUGUCACAAUACACAAUAUUGAUGAAUGUAGCAGCUGCUGAAUGAGUUGUAUCAUUGACAUUGUACCUGACAGAUGGAUGCUGCUCAAGCAGUGGAAGAGGAUCAGACCUACCAAGAGGCAGCUGAAUGGAGGAGGCGCUGUGGCAGCAGAGAGAGCAGCCACUGAUCUCGAUGGUGGACCCAAAGAUGUGGAGUACGCUAGCAUCAAUUUCUCCAUGUUGACAAGAAAGAGUCAGAGGGAGGCAGCAAAGAAGCAAGAGACCACAGAGACGGAGUACGCUGAAAUUAAGAAAGAGGUAAAAGAGGAAAGAGAUGACAAUGGAGGAGAGGAAGGUUGUGUGUUGGAGGGCAAAGAGGAGGAGGAGGCGCAACCUUGUGUUCCUAAAGAGGAGGAAGAGGAGGAUGUGGCAGUGUACUCCAAUGUGAAGGACAUAAUGGGUGAGAUUUGAGCACUGUUGCAUAGUGGAGUUGCGCUACGAUGAAGUUCUUUGCUCUCAUCAGUUGUGAUGGAUUGAAGUACUGGAUUGACACACCUGUGAAUGAAUGGCGUCCUGUGAGCAGCUGUUUUCUUCAAACGUCACAUUCAGCAAGCGCUAAACUGAAGUGACUGAGACGCAUCACACCUCGACAUGUGGGAGGCUGUGCAAAGCCAUUCAUUCAGCUCAGGGUGGAAUGGAAGAGAAUUUCUUACUCAAAUGUUUUUGUGCUUUAAUGUGUUUACCGUUCAUAAACUUUCCAGAUAAGUUUGACCCACAUCAAUGAAAAGUUGACACCGGUAUUUUGGGACAACCACCUCUGCUCUGAGUGUUCUUUUGUUUGAUACAUUUUAUUUAACCAGGAUAAGCAUGGGUCUUAAGUGUCCCUCUGGUCAGCCCAAAGCUCUUUAGAGGCCCACAUUUCUCUGCCUCAGGUACAAAUGAACCUUCACGUUCACCGUGUAGCAAAGAGGUUUCUCUUUUUCAGCAUGCUCUUGGGAUGGCAACGCUUUGUUAGACUGCUUUGGACCAGACUGGAAUAUCUCAACUAUGAUGGAUGUUCGUAUACAGACUCAAACCUCAAUGUUUUGAAUUUCUCCAUUCUGUUUUAUAUAUAUAUUAUUAUUAUGAAGAAUUGCUGAAUUACAAAUUACAGCUCGGUAUGCCUUUUCUUUUUUUAGCUUUUCAUUUGAUCAGUGUUUUCAAACUUAUAACACAUUUAGCCCGAUUUGUCUCUAAAGGCCUGUUAGUGUUCUUUAGUAAGAAGUCAUACAUUGCUUCCCUUUUUUUAAUGUGUUACAGGAAUCAUCUUGACUCAAGUACUAAAAGUGAACAGUAUCUGGCACAUGUGUUUGUCUGAAUAAUGAAAUCUUUGAGUGGUCCGUUACCACGAAGCCUUUCUAACUACAGAACCUGUGAACACUGCAGAAUGUACCAGAAGUGAGUGUUCAGUAUGUGUAACUGAUGAGGCCAAAGGUGAAGUCAGUUUAUUAUCUAGCACCUUGAAGUCUCAACAGGAAGUCAUUGGAGAGAAUCAAGUGAUGCUUUAUUAGGCAAUGUUUAAGUGAAGAACCACUUCAGGGACUUUUCUGAGAACAUAAAGAUGUUACAAUAAACCAUAUUGUUAAAAAUAGAAGUUCUUUCUAAGAUGCUUCAUGCAGCUGAAACAGGAACUAAGAUUUAAAUACUUUUUAGUUGCAGGUUUUUAAUGCACUUAAUCUUUGAUGGAAGUUGUACAUAAUUAAACUAAUGAUUAAACUAAUGACUUUUACAAUGGGCCAUCAUUAUUUAACUGCCGAUAUUAACAAGUAAUACAGACCAUUCACAUGCAUGCACAUCACUCUGCACGUAAUGUAUCAUGCCUACAAUGUAGAAGGAUAGUUUGUACAUAGAAUGUUUGGUUUCUUACAGUGACACAAUUUUCUCAAGCAGCCAUAUGGUACUUCCCCUUUCUCAGUUGUUCACCCCUUCACAGUCUUGUACCUGAUCUAAUAAAUAAAUAAAAUAAGACUUGGUUCACUUCACUCUUUAGUAUUUAAGUUGCACAUUAUCAACAUGAUAUAUUAAAUACACAUAUGAUAUUUUGGAGACUUUAGGUCCAAGAGAGGCAGUCUAAGUCAGAUCACUUGUAGAGAAGCUUCCUGGAAACUUGAUGUAGCGCAAAGAGGGAAGAAAGUGCAAAAGGAGGAAGAGUCAGUUCAGAGCUGAGAGACUCGGCAGAGAUCACUGUAGAGAGAAGAGGGAGAGAGAACGAGACAACAAGAGGUAAAACACUUCUCUUUUCUUCUUUUUUAUAUCAAAAUAUCAAGAUUAAAUUCAAUGAAAUUAAAUGAAACUGAAGAAGUCAUUCUUCCCUAACUGAUUGAAGUUU
RNAcentral lists this long non-coding RNA (4179 nucleotides) under Cottoperca gobio. Its description in RNAcentral is "lncRNA (ENSCGOG00000018505.1)". Lineage: Eukaryota; Metazoa; Chordata; Actinopteri; Perciformes; Bovichtidae. The record is from RNAcentral.